CGGUGGCGCAAUUGGAUAGCGCAACAGAUUCCGAAUCUGUAGGUUGUGGGUUCAAGUCCCGUCCGGC
Molecule: transfer RNA, 67 nt
Filed under: uncultured Bulleidia sp.
Lineage: Bacteria; Bacillati; Bacillota; Erysipelotrichia; Erysipelotrichales; Erysipelotrichaceae
Rfam family: tRNA
About the family: Transfer RNA (tRNA) molecules are approximately 80 nucleotides in length. Their secondary structure includes four short double-helical elements and three loops (D, anti-codon, and T loops).
Source: RNAcentral